This 782-nucleotide ribosomal RNA is filed under the name uncultured bacterium. RNAcentral describes it as "bacterial SSU rRNA". It matches the Rfam family "Bacterial small subunit ribosomal RNA", at positions 8 to 803 of the family's 1533-position model. The record is from RNAcentral.
AGAGUUUGAUCAUGGCUCAGGACGAACGCUGGCGGCGUGCUUAACGCAUGCAGGUCGAACGAGGUCCAUCCAGCUUGCUGGUGAAGACCUAGUGGCGAACGGGUGAGUAACACGUGAGGAACCCACCCCGGAGACCGGGAUAACCCCCCGAAAGGGGAGCUAAUACCGGAUGUCCUCAUCGGAUCGCAUGUUCUGAUGAGGAAAUGGAUUCCGCUCCGGGACGGCCUCGCGGCCUAUCAGCUUGUUGGUGGGGUAACGGCCUACCAAGGCGUCGACGGGUAGCUGGUCUGAGAGGACGGUCAGCCACACUGGGACUGAGACACGGCCCAGACUCCUACGGGAGGCAGCAGCGGGGAAUAUUGCGCAAUGGGCGAAAGCCUGACGCAGCAACGCCGCGUGAGGGAUGAAGGCUUUCGGGUUGUAAACCUCUUUCAGCAGGGACGAUUGUGACGGUACCUGCAGAAGAAGCCCCGGCCAACUACGUGCCAGCAGCCGCGGUAACACGUAGGGGGCGAGCGUUGUCCGGAUUUAUUGGGCGUAAAGAGCUCGUAGGUGGUUCGGUAAGUCGGGUGUGAAAACUCUGGGCUCAACUCAGAGACGCCACCUGAUACUGCUGUGACUUGAGUCUGGUAGGGGAGUGUGGAAUUCCCGGUGUAGCGGUGAAAUGCGCAGAUAUCGGGAGGAACACCAGUGGCGAAGGCGGCACUCUGGGCCAGUACUGACACUGAGGAGCGAAAGCGUGGGUAGCGAACAGGAUUAGAUACCCUGGUAGUCCACGCCGU